Schizophyllum amplum is the source of this 86-nucleotide non-coding RNA. The record is from the annotation of a GenBank genome assembly. Lineage: Eukaryota; Fungi; Basidiomycota; Agaricomycetes; Agaricales; Schizophyllaceae.
UCCCCGGUAGUAUAUCGGUUAGUACACCCGCCUGUCACUGAUUGGCCGGUUCGCGGGAGAGCGGGGUUCGACUCCCCGCCGAGGAG